UACGAAGGGGGCUAGCGUUGCUCGGAAUCACUGGGCGUAAAGCGCACGUAGGCGGAUUGUUAAGUCAGGGGUGAAAUCCUGGAGCUCAACUCCAGAACUGCCUUUGAUACUGGCGAUCUCGAGUCCGGGAGAGGUGAGUGGAACUGCGAGUGUAGAGGUGAAAUUCGUAGAUAUUAGGAAGAACACCAGUGGCGAAGGCGGCUCACUGGCCCGGUACUGACGCUCAUGUGCGAAAGCGUGGGGAGCAAACAGG
This 253-nucleotide ribosomal RNA is filed under the name uncultured bacterium. RNAcentral's name for it is "partial 16S ribosomal RNA". It matches the Rfam family "Bacterial small subunit ribosomal RNA", at positions 524 to 776 of the family's 1533-position model. The record is from RNAcentral.